UUAGGGUUUUUGAAGGAGAUACUGGAACUUCCAAGUGGGAUAUUCAUGAGUGGAGGGACGUAAACUCCAGGUGGCAGGUGUUAAAGUUGACAGGAAGCAGCUGAAAGACACAGCCUUGUGGUGCGAGCCGGGCAGCUGGACACUGUGCAUGGAGAAUCUCGAGCAGUUGUUUGCCAAAUGUAUUUGUAUCAUCUCAUUUGAUCCCAUC
Aethalodelphis obliquidens (Pacific white-sided dolphin) is the source of this 208-nucleotide long non-coding RNA. RefSeq lists it as uncharacterized. The transcript has 3 exons. The record is from RefSeq and is a predicted model, not a curated record. NCBI's taxonomy places the organism in Eukaryota, Metazoa, Chordata, Mammalia, Artiodactyla, Delphinidae.